AUGAGAACAACCCAAUUCAUGAUGAACUGGCUCCUGGUGCCUGACAACAUCCUUAAAAGUGCAGAAAGUAUGGAUGCACCAGAAAUUAUGCAAGGAUCAGUUGCUUAUACAUCUAUCAUAGAUCGACUGAAAUUUGGAAAACCUGGCUUUUUCUAUGUUCUGGCCAAUGCUAUAUGUCUAUAUAUAUACUUAUUCAGUACAUGUCGUCCUCUAUCCCUAUGUUUUUUCCCCUCGAUGCCGUUGCGUGGACUAUGGCCUACUCUGCUUUUUGAUUUUCCCUCCCCUGCAGCUAGGUAUUAUCUUGUGUUCCUGGUUUUUGUUUAUACAGUGGCCUUUCCCAUCCAUGGCUCGCUGAAUUUAAUGUAUCUGCGCCACCCAUUGCCAUACUGA
Molecule: ribosomal RNA, 390 nt
Filed under: Triticum aestivum (bread wheat)
Lineage: Eukaryota; Viridiplantae; Streptophyta; Magnoliopsida; Poales; Poaceae
Description: partial small subunit ribosomal RNA
Source: RNAcentral